UACGUGUGGCAUAAGUUUACCUCCUCCUUUGUCAUACCUUGUUGCCAAAUGUUCCCUUUCCCUUUGGCAUUAAAGAUUUCAUCACCCCAAUUUUGCACCUUACUUUUUAUUCUAAAUAAAAAAUCAUUGUGGCUUAAAAAUUAUUUUUUAUUCUAAAUAAAAAUUCUUUCUUAUCAUCCUUGUCCAACAUACUGAUAUGAAGAUUAAAAAUGGCGAACAUAUAUUUGCCUCUUUAAAAAAAGUGAUAAAUGGGUUUAAGUAGGUAUCCUAACAAUGGUACACAAAGUUCGG
Molecule: long non-coding RNA, 291 nt
Filed under: Gossypium barbadense (sea-island cotton)
Lineage: Eukaryota; Viridiplantae; Streptophyta; Magnoliopsida; Malvales; Malvaceae
Description: long non-coding RNA (GBAR_LNC001710)
Source: RNAcentral